AGAGUUUGAUCCUGGCUCAGGAUGAACGCUAGCGGCAGGCUUAAUACAUGCAAGUCGUGGGGCAGCAGGUUUGUAGCAAUACAAAUGCUGGCGACCGGCAAACGGGUGCGUAACACGUACGCAACUUACCCAUUACAGGGGAAUAGCCCAGGGAAACUUGGAUUAAUACCCCAUAUUAUAUAGGAUUGGCAUCAGUCUUAUAUCAAAGCUUCGGCGGUAAUGGAUGGGCGUGCGGUUGAUUAGAUAGUUGGCGGGGUAACGGCCCACCAAGUCUACGAUCAAUAGCUGAUGUGAGAGCAUGAUCAGCCACACGGGCACUGAGACACGGGCCCGACUCCUACGGGAGGCAGCAGUAAGGAAUAUUGGGCAAUGGACGAAAGUCUGACCCAGCCAUGCCGCGUGAAGGAUGAAGGUCCUCUGGAUUGUAAACUUCUUUUAUCUGGGGCGAAAAUCACCCUUUCUAGGGUGCUUGACAGUACCAGAGGAAUAAGCACCGGCUAACUCCGUGCCAGCAGCCGCGGUAAUACGGAGGGUGCAAGCGUUAUCCGGAUUUACUGGGUUUAAAGGGUGCGUAGGCGGGCAGGUAAGUCAGUGGUGAAAUCCCCGAG
This 608-nucleotide ribosomal RNA is filed under the name uncultured freshwater bacterium. RNAcentral's name for it is "bacterial SSU rRNA". It matches the Rfam family "Bacterial small subunit ribosomal RNA", at positions 8 to 607 of the family's 1533-position model. The record is from RNAcentral.